Molecule: ribosomal RNA, 253 nt
Filed under: uncultured bacterium
Lineage: Bacteria
Description: partial 16S ribosomal RNA
Rfam family: Bacterial small subunit ribosomal RNA
Source: RNAcentral
UACGGGGGGGGCAAGCGUUGUCCGGAAUUAUUGGGCGUAAAGGGCUCGUAGGCGGUCCAUCGCGUCGGGAGUGAAAAGCUGGGGCUUAACCCCAGUCCUGCUUCCGAUACGGGUGGACUAGAGGUAGGUAGGGGAGAACGGAAUUCCUGGUGUAGCGGUGAAAUGCGCAGAUAUCAGGAGGAACACCAAUGGCGAAGGCAGCUCGCUGGGACGCGAUUGACGCUGAGACGCGAAAGCGUGGGGAGCAAACAGG